UGGUCUGAAUUGUGAAUGGGGAGACAUGG
Molecule: non-coding RNA, 29 nt
Filed under: Cricetulus griseus (Chinese hamster)
Lineage: Eukaryota; Metazoa; Chordata; Mammalia; Rodentia; Cricetidae
Source: RNAcentral